This 253-nucleotide ribosomal RNA is filed under the name uncultured bacterium. RNAcentral describes it as "partial 16S ribosomal RNA". It matches the Rfam family "Bacterial small subunit ribosomal RNA", at positions 524 to 776 of the family's 1533-position model. The record is from RNAcentral.
UACGUAGGGGGCAAGCGUUAAUCGGAAUUACUGGGCGUCAAGCGUGCGCAGGCGGGCUUGCAAGACAGGUGUGAAAUCCCCGGGCUUAACCUGGGAACUGCACUUGUGACUGCAAGGCUGGAGUACGGCAGAGGGGGAUGGAAUUCCGCGUGUAGCAGUGAAAUGCGUAGAUAUGCGGAGGAACACCGAUGGCGAAGGCAAUCCCCUGGGCCUGUACUGACGCUCAUGCACGAAAGCGUGGGGAGCAAACAGG